This 259-nucleotide ribosomal RNA is filed under the name uncultured bacterium. RNAcentral describes it as "partial 16S ribosomal RNA". It matches the Rfam family "Bacterial small subunit ribosomal RNA", at positions 99 to 354 of the family's 1533-position model. The record is from RNAcentral.
CGAACGGGUGAGUAACGCUGGGGAAUCUGCCUUUGANCGGGGGACAACAUUUGGAAACGAAUGCUAAUACCGCAUAAAAACUUUAAACACAAGUUUUAAGUUUGAAAGAUGCAAUUGCAUCACUCAAAGAUGAUCCCGCGUUGUAUUAGCUAGUUGGUGAGGUAAAGGCUCACCAAGGCGAUGAUACAUAGCCGACCUGAGAGGGUGAUCGGCCACAUUGGGACUGAGACACGGCCCAAACUCCUACGGGAGGCAGCAG